Molecule: small RNA, 108 nt
Filed under: Ancylostoma duodenale
Lineage: Eukaryota; Metazoa; Nematoda; Chromadorea; Rhabditida; Ancylostomatidae
Description: SL2 RNA
Rfam family: SL2 RNA
About the family: This family represents SL2 RNA. SL2 RNA is involved in trans splicing in lower eukaryotes. Trans-splicing is a form of RNA processing.
Source: Rfam by way of RNAcentral
GGUUCUGACCCAGUAUCUUAAGGUACUAAGGCGUCCGACCAUCCACUUGUGGUUGCGUCGAAAACCUCAAUUUUUGGACAGCCUUUUCGGGGUAUCCGGGAGGGCAAC